AACAUGCUGAGGGUGACAGAGAGACCGGGAGAGGUGUCUUCUGGGUCUUUUACGAGAGGAAGAGGUCUUCUGCGAGAGACAUGCACAGAAAGAAGAAGAGGGAAAUUCACAUCGCCAGACUGAUCGGAGAGAGAAGGAGAAGAGGGGGACGAGAAGAAGAAAAAGAGGAAUCUGGAUUGCCCGACUGUGCCGAUUAGGUCCUCCACAAGCGGAAGGAGUUUCUGGGUCUUUUACUUUUCCACUUCUACCAGAAGCCUGUACGAUUAUUUCUGUCUUCUUCGAUGAUGAUUGCUUUAAAUUCUCGGCGUGACAUCAUUGAGAUUGCCCAACGUAGAGAGAAAGAGAAGUGUGCCGAUCAGGUCUUCCACAAGCGGAAGGAGUUUCUAGGUCUUCUACUUUUCCACUUCUACUGUACGAUUAUUUCUGUCUUCUUCAAUGAUGAUUGGUUUAAAUUCUGGGUGAUUGAAGUAAAUCAGACAUUGUAUUGAUAGAGAAGUAAAUUUUAGAUUUUGUUUCUUUUCAUGGAAUUUGAUGGUUUUUGGGUUUAAUUCUAUGGCUGUCUCUCUACCUUUGCUACUUUCAGUUUUAAUUUCAUAUGUUCAACCAAGACAUUGACAUUGAUUUGGGUAA
Rosa rugosa (rugosa rose) is the source of this 630-nucleotide long non-coding RNA. RefSeq lists it as uncharacterized. The record is from RefSeq and is a predicted model, not a curated record. Lineage: Eukaryota; Viridiplantae; Streptophyta; Magnoliopsida; Rosales; Rosaceae. The transcript is spliced from 3 exons.